ACCAAGCACCAUCCCCUACUGCAAUGCUAUGUAUUGUCCGGCCGCUGCACACAAGCUCUAUGCGUGCGGACGGCUGCUCCGCGCGCCCUGAUCUAGAGUGGAGACGCAGAUCGAUCACCUCGAGGCUGCGUCAGGCUUCCGUACAGUGUAUGUUCUCGCCAGAUGAUCUCGACUGGCAGCAACUUCAUGAUUUGACGAUGGUCACCCGCAUCCAAAAUCAAGUGGUUCGUUUGACUUGGUGCCUCGAUGUACCUAAUCACACAACCAUGCUGGUCCGCGUGAUGAUUGAGGCCGAUGGUAUCCUGAGUAUACCGUUGAGGAGCAAUAUCGAUAUUUCAAUCAAAGUCAAUAUCUUUGCACAGUCAGGAUAUAUCCUUCCUAUCCUAAAGCUACUGAACCGUUCCAUUGCUCAUAUGGACUUGGGGUUAUCAUCUAGAUGUCCGUGCAGGACGCUGUUUACUCGACGAUAACUAUCAUACGAGCUAGACUUGUCUUGCUUCGGAACACCGAAUUUUGCUAUAUGCCAGCAUCACUCCCUGGGGCAGAAGGUUACCAUCAGGCUCUCUACAUUAACUCCUUCCAUGAGGAUUCGCUACUCCGCACCACCACAAAGAUGCUUGAGGACAAGGACCGUGAGAAUCGUGCCUUGCGAUUGGAACUCUUCAACACUCAAGUUGACCAUUGGGCCACCCUAACAUGGUUUGCACCCGCCGUGCAGGCUGGCUAUAUGGACAUGAGGGAUUUGUACCCUGUGCAGUCUGGUCUGCCAGAUCGUAUGGACUGGCGUGAUGUAGGAGGCAUCACCCCUCCUCGUGGACCCCGUCUACCAUCGUUUGUUGGACCCAGACCACAUCCGAGUCCUUAUGGACCGCAAGCUUCACAGAAUCGACUGUUUUUAGAUGAUCACGUCUAGCUUCCAGGACAUGGGGGUAAUCUCUAUAAAGAUUACUACGGAGAUGUCUGAGUUGAUGAUAGCACCACUAGUAUAUUGUAACGAUUGUAUCAUCCACAGUCUUGCGUGACUCGUGGGAUAUGACUUAGUGUGUAUCACAUUCCGGAAGCGUAGAAAAAUAAUGUAUAGGAGCUUGAAAUGCCUCUGAUAAGAUGUACUAUUCUUUCAUCGUAGUUGUACUUCAGCUUGGGCUUGUACAAAACUAUGUAUGAUGUGUAUGACUGAUGGUGUAUAUAUGGCAUUUUCUGUAUUCCCAUGUCGUACAAAUAAACAUCUAUGCAUUUCUGUCA
Molecule: long non-coding RNA, 1242 nt
Organism: Triticum aestivum (bread wheat)
Lineage: Eukaryota; Viridiplantae; Streptophyta; Magnoliopsida; Poales; Poaceae
Exons: 3
Source: RefSeq, a predicted model, not a curated record